RNAcentral lists this ribosomal RNA (253 nucleotides) under uncultured bacterium. RNAcentral describes it as "partial 16S ribosomal RNA". It matches the Rfam family "Bacterial small subunit ribosomal RNA", at positions 524 to 776 of the family's 1533-position model. The record is from RNAcentral.
UACAGAGGUCCCAAGCGUUGUUCGGAUUUACUGGGCGUAAAGCGUGCGCAGGCGGUUCGCCAAGUCAGGUGUGAAAUCCCCGGGCUUAACCUGGGAAUUGCGCUUGAAACUAGCGGGCUUGAGUGCGGCAGAGGGGGGUGGAAUUCCACGUGUAGCAGUGAAAUGCGUAGAGAUGUGGAGGAACACCGAUGGCGAAGGCAGCCCCCUGGGUCGACACUGACGCUCAUGCACGAAAGCGUGGGGAGCAAACAGG